UACAGAGGCCUCGAGCGUUAGGCGGAAUCACUGGGCUUAAAGCGUGUGUAGGUGGAUGCCUAAGUACCUUGUGAAAUCCCACAGCUUAACUGUGGAACUGCUUGGUAUACUGGGUGUCUUGAGCCACUCAGGGGCUACCGGAACAAACGGUGGAGCGGUGAAAUGCGUAGAUAUCGUUUGGAACGCCGACGGUGAAAACAGAUGACUGGGGACCUGCUGACGCUGAGACACGAAAGCCAGGGGAGCAAACGGG
This 253-nucleotide ribosomal RNA is filed under the name uncultured bacterium. RNAcentral's name for it is "partial 16S ribosomal RNA". It matches the Rfam family "Bacterial small subunit ribosomal RNA", at positions 524 to 776 of the family's 1533-position model. The record is from RNAcentral.